RNAcentral lists this ribosomal RNA (368 nucleotides) under uncultured organism. Its description in RNAcentral is "bacterial SSU rRNA". It matches the Rfam family "Bacterial small subunit ribosomal RNA", at positions 526 to 896 of the family's 1533-position model. The record is from RNAcentral.
CGGAGGGUGCAAGCGUUGUCCGGAUUUAUUGGGUUUAAAGGGUGCGUAGGCGGCCGAUUAAGUCUGGGGUGAAAGCCCGUUGCUCAACAACGGAACUGCCCUGGAAACUGGUUGGCUUGAGUACAGACGAGGGCGGCGGAAUGGAUGCUGUAGCGGUGAAAUGCAUAGAUAGCAUCCAGAACCCCGAUUGCGAAGGCAGCUGCCUAGACUGUUACUGACGCUGAGGCACGAAAGCGUGGGGAGCGAACAGGAUUAGAUACCCUGGUAGUCCACGCCGUAAACGAUGGAUACUCGCUGCCGGCGAUACAAUGUCGGUGGCUUAGCGAAAGCGUUAAGUAUCCCACCUGGGGAGUACGCCCGCAAGGGUG